UGGGGAAUAUUGCACAAUGGGCGCAAGCCUGAUGCAGCGACGCCGCGUGGGGGAUGACGGCCUUCGGGUUGUAAACCCCUUUCGGCAGGGAACAAGCCCCUUGGGGUGAGGGUACCUGCGGAAGAAGCGCCGGCUAACUACGUGCCAGCAGCCGCGGUAAUACGUAGGGCGCGAGCGUUAUCCGGAAUUAUUGGGCGUAAAGAGCUCGUAGGCGGUUUGUCGCGUCUGCUGUGAAAGCCCGGGGCUCAACCCCGGGUCUGCAGUGGGUACGGGCAGGCUGGAGUGGAGUAGGGGAGGCUGGAAUUCCUGGUAUAGCGGUGAAAUGCGCAGAUGUCAGGAGGAACACCGAUGGCGAAGGCAGGUCUCUGGGCUGUAACUGACGCUGAGGAGCGAAAGCAUGGGGAGCGAACAGG
RNAcentral lists this ribosomal RNA (413 nucleotides) under Bacillota bacterium. Its description in RNAcentral is "Firmicutes bacterium partial 16S ribosomal RNA". It matches the Rfam family "Bacterial small subunit ribosomal RNA", at positions 355 to 776 of the family's 1533-position model. The record is from RNAcentral. Lineage: Bacteria; Bacillati; Bacillota.